UACGUAGGGUGCGAGCGUUGUCCGGAAUCACUGGGCGUAAAGGGCGCGUAGGUGGCCACUAUAAGGCCGCGGUGAAAGUUCGGGGCUCAACCCUGAAUCUGCCGCGGCGACUGUAGGGCUAGGGCACCGUAGAGGCAGAUGGAAUUCCGGGUGUAGCGGUGGAAUGCGUAGAUAUCAGGAGGAAUACCGAUGGCGAAGGCAGGUCUCUGGGCUGACACUGACGCUCAUGCACGAAAGCGUGGGGAGCAAACAGG
Molecule: ribosomal RNA, 254 nt
Filed under: uncultured bacterium
Lineage: Bacteria
Description: partial 16S ribosomal RNA
Rfam family: Bacterial small subunit ribosomal RNA
Source: RNAcentral